Molecule: small nucleolar RNA, 208 nt
Organism: Jaculus jaculus (lesser Egyptian jerboa)
Lineage: Eukaryota; Metazoa; Chordata; Mammalia; Rodentia; Dipodidae
Gene: U3
Rfam family: Small nucleolar RNA U3
About the family: Small nucleolar RNAs (snoRNAs) are involved in the processing and modification of rRNA in the nucleolus. There are two main classes of snoRNAs: the box C/D class, and the box H/ACA class. U3 snoRNA is a member of the box C/D class.
Source: Ensembl
AACACUAUACAUUCAGGGACCAUUUCUACAGUUGUUUUCUAGAGAAGUUUCUCUAUGUAGAUAGAGUUCUGGAAAUCACGAGGAUGUGCAGUGUUCUCUACUGAGAAGCUGACGCUGGGUGUUGUUUUGUGCAACUGCUCAUCACCAUGGAUGGUCAUUCCUCUCUCCCCUUGGGAGGGUUAAAGGGAGAGAACGCAGUCUGAGUGGC